GACGAACGCUGGCGGCGUGCUUAACACAUGCAAGUCGAACGGUGAAGCGCCUUCCUUUUUGGUGGGUGUGGAUGAGUGGCGAACGGGUGAGUAACACGUGAGUAACCUGCCCCCUUCUUCUGGAUAACCGCAUGAAAGUGUGGCUAAUACGGGAUAUUCUGGGUCUGUCGCAUGAUGGGUCUGGGAAAGAUAUUGUUUCGGUGGGGGAUGGGCUCGCGGCCUAUCAGCUUGUUGGUGGGGUGAUGGCCUACCAAGGCGGUGACGGGUAGCCGGCCUGAGAGGGUGGACGGUCACACUGGGAAUGAGACACGGCCCAGACUCCUACGGGAGGCAGCAGUGGGGAAUAUUGCACAAUGGGCGCAAGCCUGAUGCAGCGACGCCGCGUGAGGGAUGGAGGCCUUCGGGUUGCGAACCUCUUUCGCAAGUGAAGCAGGCCUGCCUCGUUUGUGGGUGGGUUGACGGUAGCUGGAUAAGAAGCGCCGGCUAACUACGUG
This 494-nucleotide ribosomal RNA is filed under the name uncultured bacterium. Its description in RNAcentral is "partial 16S ribosomal RNA". It matches the Rfam family "Bacterial small subunit ribosomal RNA", at positions 28 to 507 of the family's 1533-position model. The record is from RNAcentral.